AGGAUAAAUAAGUUAGGUAAACAAAACCAUAUAAAUGAAACUAAUUAAGAAUCUAUAACAAAAGUUAAGGGUAGAAUACAAAAAUUGCCAUCAAAGGACAAAGUAAAAACAUAGGCCUAGAAAAUACUUUUAACGUCAUUAUAACAGCCAAUUAAGUUCCAAAACUAAAAAGAGGCUUUACAAAUUUGGCCAACAAUGCAAAAAUUACCCGUCAACAAACAUUCAAAACUUCAACAACAUGCUCCUUAUGAGUUUGUAGAUAAAAAUAACAAGAUUAUAAAUGUUUUAAAGCAAGAGAGGAAAUAAUGUAAAACAAGCUGAACAAAACAGAAAAAAAAACAAAAUAAUCCCGGUGACAGCAAUAAACAAGGCGAAGAACAAAGUCACAUCUAUUAAUGUUUCUUCAAUUACCAUUAGCUUAGCUAAGUGGAAAGCCAUAGCAAUACAUAAAUAUCAAGAGAGUCACAGUUGACAGUAUCUAAAUUUAGGUUUCAAUGAUUUACUGUUUUCUAAAUAACAUUUUGGAGACCAACAUUACAUAUUCUGAUAGGGUCAAGACUCAAGAAGGGCCAAAAACCUUUCAAGGUUUAUUCUAGAAGACCUAAAGGACAAGGAAAGGAAAAGGAAUCUUACUUGAUGAUGUGCAAUUGGAAUGGGCUGCUGUAAGGAACAAAAGGGAGAAGGACAUGUGACCAAAGGUGGUUAUAACAGAAGAAUCAUCUCCAGAAUACAAGGAAGUGAGCAGAAUGAAGGAGCAUCUUUUGGCUAUCUAGAAUUGUGAGGGCAGAAUUAUUUCUCAGUCAUUUAUCUUUCUUUUUCUCUUCUUGUUGCUUUAGAGACUGGAUUGCUAUUUUGAAUUUAAUAUUUGUUCUGUAUAAAGUUUGCCGAAAUUAAUACAAUCAAACCUGUUUCUCUUAGUUUCUUGUCUCACUUAUUUAUUUUUCAUACUCCUUACUCUAUCAUAUUCUCAUUAAUUUGGGUAUCCACUUAGGCUGAUGCUCUUACAUAAAAAUCACAAAAAUGGUUAGCGGAAAUUGUAAAAAUCCCUUUUUAGCACUGCAAUUCUCCUUCACCUCCCAAUCACCAACCAAAAACCAAGAAAAAAAUAAAUUAAAAAUGAAAAGUGUUCACAAAUUGUAGCACUGAAAAGAGUGUAAUGGCCAUAUUAACUACUACAACAGCACAAGAAUUUUAGGACCGCAUUAA
This 1206-nucleotide unclassified non-coding RNA is filed under the name Hevea brasiliensis (rubber tree). The record is from RNAcentral. Lineage: Eukaryota; Viridiplantae; Streptophyta; Magnoliopsida; Malpighiales; Euphorbiaceae.